This 467-nucleotide ribosomal RNA is filed under the name uncultured bacterium. RNAcentral's name for it is "bacterial SSU rRNA". It matches the Rfam family "Bacterial small subunit ribosomal RNA", at positions 330 to 793 of the family's 1533-position model. The record is from RNAcentral.
UCCAGACUCCUACGGGAGGCAGCAGUGAGGAAUAUUGGUCAAUGGGCGGGAGCCUGAACCAGCCAAGUCGCGUGAAGGAAGAAGGUACUUAGUAUUGUAAACUUCUUUUGUCGGGGAACAAAGGCGGAGACGCGUCUCCGGAUGAGUGUACCCGAAGAAAAAGCAUCGGCUAACUCCGUGCCAGCAGCCGCGGUAAUACGGAGGAUGCGAGCGUUAUCCGGAUUUAUUGGGUUUAAAGGGUGCGUAGGCGGGCUUUUAAGUCAGCGGUAAAAAUUCGGGGCUCAACCCCGUCCGGCCGUUGAAACUGGGGGCCUUGAGUGGGCGAGAAGAAGGCGGAAUGCGUGGUGUAGCGGUGAAAUGCAUAGAUAUCACGCAGAACUCCGAUUGCGAAGGCAGCAUACCGGCGCCCAACUGACGCUGAAGCACGAAAGCGUGGGUAUCGAACAGGAUUAGAUACCCCUGUAUAG